ACAACAUGUGAGAGCAAAGUGUGACCUUGCACCAUUUCCUGGCCUCUGCUGUGGGCUGUGAGCACUGAAGGAGGUAGCACAGUU
Molecule: small nucleolar RNA, 84 nt
Filed under: Cavia porcellus (domestic guinea pig)
Lineage: Eukaryota; Metazoa; Chordata; Mammalia; Rodentia; Caviidae
Description: Small nucleolar RNA SNORA42/SNORA80 family (ENSCPOG00000028389.2)
Source: RNAcentral